CAGUAGCCGCGGGAAUACGUAGGUGGCAAGCGUUGUCCGGAAUUAUUGGGCGUAAAGGGCUCGCAGGCGGUUUCUUAAGUCUGAUGUGAAAGCCCCCGGCUCAACCGGGGAGGGUCAUUGGAAACUGGGAAACUUGAGUGCAGAAGAGGAGAGUGGAAUUCCACGUGUAGCGGUGAAAUGCGUAGAGAUGUGGAGGAACACCAGUGGCGAAGGCGACUCUCUGGUCUGUAACUGACGCUGAGGAGCGAAAGCGUGGGGAGCGAACAGGAUUAGAUACCCGCGUAGUCCCUGUCUCUUAUAC
Molecule: ribosomal RNA, 301 nt
Filed under: uncultured bacterium
Lineage: Bacteria
Description: partial 16S ribosomal RNA
Rfam family: Bacterial small subunit ribosomal RNA
Source: RNAcentral